CAGAAGCAGAGAUGAAGAGAGAGAGAGAGUCAUAGAGGGAGCGAGAGGGGGGUGGAGCUUAGCCGACGGAGAGGAAAUGAAAUUCUAAACUGCAGCACAAUCAGCUGUCUGUACAUAGCUGCAUGAUCUGGAUCUCAUUCAAGCGCUCUGUCUGUCUGUCUGUCUCUCGUGUCUCCGGAAUGACGGGGCUUUGGCGGCCGAGCGAACGGCCCGGAGAGUGACGCACAGACCCCCCCUCUCUCCCCCCUACCUCCCCCCCAACCACCACCACCGCCACCCCGCCGUCUCCCCCACGCUUCGGCCUCCCCUUCUCCGUUGGUUCCGUCCGUUCCAACCUCCGAGCCUCCGUCCCUCUGAUCAGGGACCAGCUGACCUCGCGGGUGGGGGGGGGGGGGGGGGGGUCCCGUCUCCCUGACCAGGCGCUGGGGAGGCUGCUGUCGUCGUUGUCGUCGUCAGGACAACGUCCCGGCUCGUCAAUCAUCCCAACUUAACGCCUCUUAACGGCAUGGAUGGACUGCGUCUGCCCCCGCUCAUAGAGGAGGUCAUGGAUCCCUCUGAAGAGCUCCAGAAGGAGGAGAAGCACCAGGAAGCACUCGAGGACGACAAGGAGAAGAAGAGGAAGGAGAAGGAGGAGGAGGAGAAGGAGGAGA
Molecule: long non-coding RNA, 650 nt
Organism: Gadus morhua (Atlantic cod)
Lineage: Eukaryota; Metazoa; Chordata; Actinopteri; Gadiformes; Gadidae
Exons: 3
Source: RefSeq, a predicted model, not a curated record